UCCAGUAUUUGUAGAAGGAGCAAACCUCAGUACUGGUGAUAUGCAUUUUUCUCAAGGUGACGGUGAAGUAUCAUUUUGUGGGGCAAUUGAGAUGAGUGGCUUCCUAGAGCUCAAGUGUGAGAUUAUAAGAAACGGAAUGAAAGAAUAUCUCACUCCAAUGGGACCCACAUCACUACAUGUGAACCCAAUUUUUGAGAUAGGACCCAUGGAGCCAAGAUUCUCGGAGUGGUUGGUGUUUGAGGGCAUCAGUGUAGAUGAAAGUGGACAACAACACUAUCUUGAUGCCAGUGUUGCAUACAAGCGUGCAGUACUAAAUGCAAUUGAUUACCUCUCAAAAUUUGGCUACUCAAAGGAACAGGUUUAUCUUUUACUUUCGUGCUGUCCAUGCGAAGGAAGGAUUUCAGGAAUUGUUGAUGCCCCCAAUGCUGUUGCCACCCUUGCCAUCCCAACAGCUAUUUUUGACCAGGAUAUUCGCCCAAAGGUCAAUAAAG
RNAcentral lists this unclassified non-coding RNA (491 nucleotides) under Hevea brasiliensis (rubber tree). The record is from RNAcentral. Lineage: Eukaryota; Viridiplantae; Streptophyta; Magnoliopsida; Malpighiales; Euphorbiaceae.